Molecule: ribosomal RNA, 851 nt
Filed under: Canalisporium thailandense
Lineage: Eukaryota; Fungi; Ascomycota; Sordariomycetes
Description: partial 28S large subunit ribosomal RNA
Rfam family: Eukaryotic large subunit ribosomal RNA
Source: RNAcentral
GUAGCGGCGAGCGAAGCGGCAACAGCCCAGAUUUGAAAUCCGGUGCUCUUUGGGCGCCCGAGUUGUAAUCUGCAGAUGGGUUUUCCGGUGAGGCGCGCGUCCAAGUUCCCUGGAAUGGGACGCCGUAGAGGGUGAGAGCCCCGUACUGGCGCCGCGCCGAGCCUCUGUGAGGCCCAUUCGACGAGUCGAGUAGUUUGGGAAUGCUGCUCUAAUUGCGAGGUAAAUCUCUCGUAAGGCUAAAUACCGGCCAGAGACCGAUAGCGCACAAGUAGCGUGAGCGAAAGAUGAAAAGAGCCUUGGAUAAGGGCGUCAAAAAGCAUGUGAAAUCGUUAUGGGGGAAGCGCUCGUCGCCAGACGUGGCGGCGGCUGGUUAGCCGGCGUUCUCGCCGGCGCACUCGGACCGCCGCCAGGCCAGCAACAGCUCGGGCUGGGGCCCACUGCCGGAGGGAACGUAGCUCCCCUUGUGGGAGUGUUAUAGCCCUUCGGCGACGCCCUGGACCGGGCUGAGGACCGCGCCUUGCGCACGGAUGCUGGCGUAAUGGCGCCUAGCGACCCGUCUUGAAACACGGACCAAGGAGUUGACCUAGCGCGCGAGUGUACGGGUGUAAAGCCCUUGCGCGUAGUGAAAGCAAACGCUGGUGGGAGCCUUCGGGCGCACCAUCGACCGAUCCUGAUGCUCCGCGGAUGGAUUUGAGUAGGAGCGCGCUGGGUCUGACCCGAAAGAAAGUGAACUAUGCAUGGGUAGGGUGAAGCCAGAGGAAACUCUGGUGGAGGCUCGCAGCGGUUCUGACGUGCAAAUCGAUCGUCAAACCUGUGCAUGGGGGCGAAAGACCAAUCUAUCUUUCUAGUAG